GACGAACGCUGGCGGCGUGCUUAACACAUGCAAGUGGAGCGACGAACCAGGGCUUGCCCUGGGGCAGAGCCGCGAACGGGUGAGUAACACGUGGGUAACGUGCCCCGAUGAUCGGGACAACCCGGGGAAACCCGGGCUAAUACCGAAUGUGCUCCCCUCACACCAGUGAGGGAUGGAAAGGAAGCUUCGGCCUCCGCAUCGGGAUCGGCCCGCGGCCCAUUAGCUUGUUGGUGAGGUAACGGCUCACCAAGGCUGCGAUGGGUAGCUGGUCUGAGAGGACGAUCAGCCACACUGGGACUGAGACACGGCCCAGACUCCUACGGGAGGCAGCAGUGGGGAAUCUUGCGCAAUGCGCGAAAGCGUGACGCAGCAACGCCGCGGUGGGGGAAGACGGCCU
This 397-nucleotide ribosomal RNA is filed under the name uncultured bacterium. Its description in RNAcentral is "bacterial SSU rRNA". It matches the Rfam family "Bacterial small subunit ribosomal RNA", at positions 28 to 417 of the family's 1533-position model. The record is from RNAcentral.